AUUGAACGCUGGCAGCAGGCCUAACACAUGCAAGUCGAGCGGAUGAAGGGAGCUUGCUCCUGGAUUCAGCGGCGGACGGGUGAGUAAUGCCUAGGAAUCUGCCUGGUAGUGGGGGAUAACGUCCGGAAACGGGCGCUAAUACCGCAUACGUCCUGAGGGAGAAAGUGGGGGAUCUUCGGACCUCACGCUAUCAGAUGAGCCUAGGUCGGAUUAGCUAGUUGGUGGGGUAAAGGCCUACCAAGGCGACGAUCCGUAACUGGUCUGAGAGGAUGAUCAGUCACACUGGAACUGAGACACGGUCCAGACUCCUACGGGAGGCAGCAGUGGGGAAUAUUGGACAAUGGGCGAAAGCCUGAUCCAGCCAUGCCGCGUGUGUGAAGAAGGUCUUCGGAUUGUAAAGCACUUUAAGUUGGGAGGAAGGGCAGUAAGCUAAUACCUUGCUGUUUUGACGUUACCAACAGAAUAAGCACCGGCUAACUUCGUG
This 484-nucleotide ribosomal RNA is filed under the name uncultured bacterium. RNAcentral describes it as "partial 16S ribosomal RNA". It matches the Rfam family "Bacterial small subunit ribosomal RNA", at positions 30 to 507 of the family's 1533-position model. The record is from RNAcentral.